UUACGGCCAUAUCACGUUGAAACACUAGUUCUUGUACAAUCACUGCAGUUAAGCAAUGUCAAGCCUUGUCAGUACCUAGAUGGGUGACCACUUGGGAAUGUCAGGUGCUAU
Acanthosepion pharaonis is the source of this 111-nucleotide non-coding RNA. The record is from the annotation of a GenBank genome assembly. Lineage: Eukaryota; Metazoa; Mollusca; Cephalopoda; Sepiida; Sepiidae.